Molecule: ribosomal RNA, 2094 nt
Filed under: Durio zibethinus
Lineage: Eukaryota; Viridiplantae; Streptophyta; Magnoliopsida; Malvales; Malvaceae
Description: eukaryotic LSU rRNA
Rfam family: Eukaryotic large subunit ribosomal RNA
Source: RNAcentral
GAUCUCGUCGAUCGAGGUUGGCCCAAAGGUGAGUCCCCGACAACGACAGCACCGUGACUAUCGAUGGUAGAGCUCCCAACGUGCCUCGUCCCCGGUGACGCAUGCUUGUUGUCCACCCGAACCCUGUUGGACCCCCCGUAUCGCUCGAUCGAUGCUCACUUCGUGACCCCAGGUCAGGCGAGAUCACCCGCUGAGUUUAAGCAUAUCAAUAAGCGGAGGAAAAGAAACUUACCAGGAUUCCCCUAGUAACAGUGAGCGAAUCGGAAAGAGCCCAGCUUGAGAAUCGGGUGCCUCCGACAUUCGAACUAUAGUCUGGAGAAGCGUCCUUAGUGGUGGACUCGGCCCGAGUCCCUUGGAAAGGGGCACUGGAGAGGGUGAGAGCCCCGUUAUGCCCAGACCCUGUUGUGCCACGAGGCGCUGUCCCCGAGUCAGGUUGUUUGGGAAUGCAACCCCAAUCGGGUGAUAAAUUCCAUCCAAGGCUGAAUACAGGCGAAAGAUCGAUAGCAACAAGUACCGCGAGGGAAAGAUGAAAAGGACUUUGAAAAAAGAGUCAAAGAGUGCUUGAAAUUGUCAAGAGGGAAGCGGAUGGGUUAGUCAAUCCUAAGAGACGGGGGAAGCCCGUCUGACAGCAUGUCCCGCAUGAGCUUCGAAAGGGAAUCGGGUUAAAAUUCCUGAAUCAGGAUGCAACAACUGACGGUAAUGUUAAGGAGUCCAGAGACGUCGACGGGGGCCUCAGGAAGAGUUAUCUUUUCUAUUUAACGGCCCACCCACCCUGGAAAUGACUCAGUUAGAGGUAGGUCUAGCGACCGAAAGAGCAGCGUACGUCACGUGGUGUCCGGUGCACCCCUGACGACCCAUGAAAAUCUAAAGGAUCGAGUGCCGUCCACGCCUGAUCAUACUCAUAACCGUAUCAGGUCUCCAAGGUGAACAGCCUCUAGUCAAUGGAACAAUGUAGGCAAGGGAAGUCGGUAAAAUGGAUCCGCAACCUCAAGAAAAGGAUUGGCUCUGAGGGCUAGGUACGAGGGUCCCAGUCUCGAACCUGUCAACUGCCGAUGCACUGCUCGAGCUGCUCUCGUGAUGAGAGUGGGUCACCGCGUGUUGGUCGGGGGACGGACUGGGAAUAGCUCCCUCGAGGGCUUUUUCUGGGCAUCGAACAGUCGACUCAGAACUGGUACGAACAAAGGGAAUCUGACUGUUUAAUUAAAACAAAGCAUUAUGAUGUUCCCUGCGGAUGCUGACGUAAUGUGAUUUUCGCCCAAUGCUCUGAAUGCCAAAGUGAAGAAAUUCAACCAAGCACGGGUAAAUGGCGGGAGUAACUAUGACUUUCUUAAGGCAGCCAAAUGCCUCAUCAUCUUAUUAGUGACGCGUAUGAAUGGAUUAACAAGAUUCCCACUGUCCCUAUCUACUAUCCAAUGAAACGACAGCCAAGGGAAUGCGAUUGGCGGAAUUAACGGGGAAAGAAGACCCUGUUAAGCUUGACUCUAGUAUGACUUUGUGAAAUGACUUGAGAGGUGUAGGAUAAAUGGGAGUCCCUGAGCGAAAUUGAAAUACCACUACUUUUAACGUUAUUUUACUUAUUUCGUGAAUCGAGGGUGGGGCACGACCUCUUCUUUUGGACCCAAGGCCAGCCUCACCCAGGUGGAAGACAUUGUCAGGUGAGGAGUUUGGCUAGGGUGGCACAUCUGUUAAAAGAUAAUGCACAUGUCCUAAGGUGAACUCAACGAGAAUAGAAAUCUCGUGUGGAACAAAAGGGUAAAAGCUCAUUUGAUUAUGAUUUCCAGUACGAAUACGAAUCGUGAAAGCGUGGCCUAUCGAUCCUUUAGACUUUUUGUAUUUGAAGCUAAAGGUGUCAGAAAAGUUACUACAGGGAUAACUGGCUUGUGGCAGCCAAGCGUUCAUAGCGACAUUACUUUUUGAUCCUUUGAUGUCGGCUCUUCUUAUCCUUGUGAAGCAGAAUUCAUCAAGUGUUGGAUUGUUCACCCACCAAUAGGGAACGUAAGUUGGGUUUAGAGCAUCGUGAGACAGGUUAGUUUUACCCUACUGAUGGUGGCAUCAUGACAAUAAUUCAACCUAGUAUGAGAGCAACCAUAACCG